Dreissena polymorpha is the source of this 2705-nucleotide long non-coding RNA. RefSeq lists it as uncharacterized. The transcript is spliced from 2 exons. The record is from RefSeq and is a predicted model, not a curated record. NCBI's taxonomy places the organism in Eukaryota, Metazoa, Mollusca, Bivalvia, Myida, Dreissenidae.
AGAGUUGCGACACCUUAAGGGUUUCGCGGGAUGGAAUGAGUGGGGAGAUCAAUUCAAAUUGAAAGCCGAUUGUUUCGACAAAAAUUUGGGUACGAAACAAUUUAGGUACGAAAAAAAAUUUGGGUACGAACAAAUUUGGGUACGAAAAACAUUUUGAUACGAAAAAAAUGGGUUCGAAAAAAAAAAGUUGGGUACGAACAAAUUUGGGUACGAAAAACAUUUCGGUAAGAAAAAAAUGGGUACGAAAAAAAUUGGUUACGAAAAAAAUUUAGGUACGAAAAAAAAUUUGGUUACAAAAACAAAUUAGAGUACGAAAAAAUAUAGGGAACGAAAAAAAUGAAGGUACGAAAACUAUUUUGGUACGAAAACAUUUAACAUUUGUAAAGACAUAAAACAAACUAAAAAGAUUUUAUUUCAUGUUUGGGUGGUGUCCAUUGUAGUAUGUCAGGUUAGUGUUGUUUUGUCAAAGCAUGAAUCAAAUUUGAUGAUAAACAAGAAACAAUCGGAGACGGGUGAUGCUCCCCAAAGGUUUUUUGGUCACAAUAUUGCACUAUAUAUUCAGAUAAAAGGAAACGUCUUGAGGGGCAUAACUCUGGACAAAAUAAUACAAUGGAUGGUUAAGUAACUUAAAAAUUUCAAAGGGCCAUAACUCUCUAAAUAAAUCAUGUAACCCGAACCCACUUAUAACAUGCGCAUCUCCUAGAGGUAGUUAAGAUUCCCAUAAAGCUUUAUUGUAUUCCAGUCAGUAGUUGGGGAGAAAUAGCCCGGACAAGAAUUGCACUACAUAAAUAUGUACAGUUUAUAGAAAAUGUAAAAGGGCCAUUACUCUGUGAAAAAUCAACCGAACAUAACCGGCUGAUAAUAUGCACAUCUCCUGUUGGUAGUGAAGCUUCCCAUGCUGUUUCAGUGAAUUCCCAUAAUAAGUUGCUGAGAAUUAGCUCUGACAAGAAUUGCACUAUAUGUUCAAUGUAAAAUUUCAAAGGGCCAUAACCCUGUGAAAAAUCAUCCGCCGAGAACCGGCUGAUAAUAUGCACAUGUCCUCUUGGUAGUGAAGUUUCCCAUAAAUUUUAUUGAAUGCCAGUCAUUGGUUGCUGAGAAAUAGCCCGGACAAGAAUUGCACUUUAUGUACAGUUAAUGGAAAAUUUCAAAGGGCCAUACAUUGUAACUCUGUGAAAAAUCAUCCGACCAGAACCGGCUGAUAAUAUGCAUGUCUCCUCUUGGUAGUGAAGCUUCCCAUUAUGUUUAAUUGAAUUCCAGUCAUUAGUUGCUGAGAAACAGCCCGGACAAAAAUUGUGCACGGACGGACAGACGAAGCGGCGACUAUAUGCUCCCCCCUUAAAAAAAUUGGGGGGGAGCAUAAUAAAGAAGUUGUGGCAAUUUAAAGGUGGUACGCAAACUUUAAAAUAGAUUUAUCAAUUAUAUGCUUAUUCUUAGUGAAAAAAAGGCCAUAAUUGUUACAAAAUGCUUGAUACAGUUAUCUGCUUGUGUUUAUACAUUGGGGUCAUGUUGGUUAAGAAGCAAAAUACAUGUAUGAAAGCAAUAUGUCAAGGGACAUAGAAAAUAUUUGAGGUGAUAUGCAAACUUUAACAUAGAUUUAUCUAUAAUAUGCAUAUUCUAAGUGAAAAAGGGCCUAAUUCUGUUAAAAUGCUUGAUACAGUUGUCUGCUCAUGUUUAUAGAUUGGGGUUAUGUUGGUAAAGAAGUAUCCAAAAUAUAAAAGCAAUAUGUCAAUGGACAUAGGAAAUAUAUUUGAGGUGGUACGCAAACAUUCCAAUGCGCGCGCCAACGCCGGGGUGAGUAGGAUAGCUCCACUAUAUAUGUUUCAUAUAUAAUAGUCGAGCUAAAAAGUAAAUAUACUAUAAACAACAAGCUAACCUCAAUCACAACUUUAAUGCAAUGCAGUUAAACAAUAAAGUUACAAUGAUAUGCCAGGGAUUGAAACUAAUUUUUUUUUAUAUUGUGGGCAACCAUCUUUAGUAUUUUGGUUGCCCAGAUAAAGAAUAACCAGCCCAGAAAUACAACAUAUAUCAACAUGUAAAUAUUAUUAUAAUAGAUAAUUAUAUACAUUUGCUGACAAUACACAUGUUCAAUGCAUGAUGUAUUAUUAUGAGCCUGAAUUGAAUCAUGUCCGAUUCCUAAAUAAUGAAUGUUAUUUAACUAGUAUUGAUCCAUGGUGAUCAAUUGUUUUUCAAUUUUUAUUGCACUGUAUUGUUUUAUGCUUUAAAAAAAAAGAAGUUUACCAACUUUUGAAAAUGAGUUGCCCAGGCCAAAAUCUACUUGCCCUGGGCUCACGGGAAACCACUUAUUUCCAUCCCUGUAUACUCUUCAUUUUCUGUUCUUCCAUCCCAUUCUCAAAAUUAAUUUUAAAGCACAAUAUUUUUAAUAACAUUUGUAUGAAUUGCUAACCAUUAUCACCCAAAUAACAAUUUUACAAAGCUGUAAUCCUGUCGUAAAGAUUUAGUUUACUAUUAUCAGUGUUCUCUUAACUUAAAUACCGGCAACCAGCGAUUUUGCCGGUUACAUUUACUCUUGAUGCCGGCUACUUUUCCCAAAUAUAUCAAGUAAAUGUCACAAAUGCUUUCGUUUUACUGCAUAGUUGCCGGCCAUAUAACUGGCUACUCAAAUUUUUCUGGAAAACACUGAAUUAUGCAUGACAAACACACAAUACUUACAUGUAAAUAAACCUUAGAUUCGUUUUUAAAAUAAA